GUCCGGAGCUCGGCCGGAGGAGGGGGAGCUGCAGCGUCUCAGCGAUAGGGCGUCGCAUCUCGUCGCUUCUAACUAUGGGACGACAUUUAUUGUUAAGGAUAAAAAAGACGCGAGUAAUGUUGCUUACACAAGCGAGGGCCUUGAUCUGCACUGUGAUCUGGUGUGCCUUCAUUACAAGCCUUGUGUCCAGCUGUUGCACUGCAUCACCCAGUUUUCGGGCGACGGCGGCGACUCCAUCCUGGCAGACAGUCACCGUGUCGCU
Penaeus vannamei (Pacific white shrimp) is the source of this 262-nucleotide non-coding RNA. The record is from RefSeq and is a predicted model, not a curated record. Lineage: Eukaryota; Metazoa; Arthropoda; Malacostraca; Decapoda; Penaeidae.